GCGUUGGAUUGGUGGGCGCUUGUGUGUUCAGCCUUUAUGGUGCAUUGGCACAAGUGCUUAUCCGCUGUGGGUUCUCGGGGGUCGAUUUUGGAUCCCUGGGGACUGAGGGCUCCCUUUUUUGGUGAGGACAGCGGAGUGACGACGCGAUACGACCCGUCUUGAAACACGGACCAAGGAGUCUAGCGCGGGUGCGAGUCAGAGGGUGCAAGCCCGUGGGCGAAGUGAAAGCGAGUGUAAAAACUAGCAGUUUGGGGCGGCAUAAGAUCGUUGAUCUCAAGACCGACCCAGAGCAGUUGCGCUGGGACCCGAAAGAUGGUGAACUAUGCCGGAGUAGGGCAAAGCCAGAGGAAACUCUGGUGGAGGCUCGUAGCGGUGCUGACGUGCAAAUCGCUCGUCGAACUUGGGUAUAGGGGCGAAAGACUAAUCGAACCAUCUAGUAGCUGGUUCCCUCCGAAGUUUCUCUCAGGAUAGCGGGCCGACAAGUUGUUUUGUGCGGUAAAGCGAAUGAUUAGCGCAAUCGGGGGCGUUUAGCCUUCGGGCGAUUCUCAAACUUUCAAUGCGCAAGGGUGCCGCUGCUUAAUUGAGCGGUACCGAUAAAAACGUCGGCCCUGUGGGCCACUUUUGGUAAGCAGAACUGGCGAUACGGGAUGAACCGUAAGCAAGGUUAAGGCGCCAAACUGCCCGCUUAUAGACCCCACAAAAGGUGUUGAUUCAUCGAGACAGCAGGACGGUGGCCAUGGAAGUCGGAAUCCGCCAAGGAGUGUGUAACAACUCACCUGCCGAAUGAAUUAGCCCUGAAAAUGGAUGGCGCUGAAGCGGGCGGCCGACACCUUGCCGUCUGGACAAGAAUUUCAGAUGAGUAGGAGGGCGUGGCGGCCGUGUCGAAGCGCGCGUGCAGACGCGUGUGGAACGGCCGCUAGUGCAGAUCUUGGUGGUAGUAGCAAGUAUUCAAGCGAGAUCCUUGAAGGGCGAAGUGGGGAAGGGUUUCACGCGAACAUUGAUUGGGCGUGAGUGAGUCGUUCCUAAGCCGAGUGGCAAUUGCUAAUUAACGGCGAAAGGGAAGCGGGUUGACAUUCCCGCACACGGAUGUGGAGGCGGCGACGCAUUAUUGGGGCGAACACGCUGGCGAUGGCGCUGGGCAGAGUUGUCUUUUCUGUUUGACCGCUUGCGCACGCAGUGUGGAAUCCGCUUGUCGGGAGAAACACGCGUGUACGGGCAGAGCGCUGGGGCUUUUCCAGCGUCCAGCUCGCCAUCGACGGCCCUUGAAACUUUGCCUGCUGAUUUAAGAUCCACGCCGUGGCGUACCGAUCACCGCAUCAGGUCCCCAAGGUGAACAGCCUCUGCUCAAUAUGAAAAAUGCAGGUAAGGGAAGUCGGCAAAUUAGACCCGUAACUUUGGGAAAAGGGUUGGCUCUAGUGCUGCGUGGGAGUGGUUGUCGGUUGUUGGCGUUUCUGGUGUGGCGGCUUGGCGCGGGGCCCUUUUUGGGACCUGUUCCUGCUGCUACGCUGGUGGCGGCGCGGCCGACGACGCCCACAGCAUGCAGCAGACUAGAACUGCAACGGGCAAAGGGAAUCCGACUGUUUAAUUAAAACAAAGCAUUGCGAGGGCCG
Molecule: ribosomal RNA, 1610 nt
Filed under: Ahnfeltiopsis gigartinoides
Lineage: Eukaryota; Rhodophyta; Florideophyceae; Gigartinales; Phyllophoraceae
Description: LSU rRNA
Rfam family: Eukaryotic large subunit ribosomal RNA
Source: RNAcentral